ACUCAUUUUUCAGUUGGUAGAGCAUGAGACUCUUAAUCUCAAGGUUGUGGGUUCGAGCCCCAUAUUGGGCA
This 71-nucleotide transfer RNA is filed under the name Podarcis lilfordi (Lilford's wall lizard). It matches the Rfam family "tRNA". From Rfam's summary of the family: Transfer RNA (tRNA) molecules are approximately 80 nucleotides in length. Their secondary structure includes four short double-helical elements and three loops (D, anti-codon, and T loops). Further hydrogen bonds mediate the characteristic L-shaped molecular structure. tRNAs have two regions of fundamental functional importance: the anti-codon, which is responsible for specific mRNA codon recognition, and the 3' end, to which the tRNAs corresponding amino acid is attached (by aminoacyl-tRNA synthetases). tRNAs cope with the degeneracy of the genetic code in two manners: having more than one tRNA (with a specific anti-codon) for a particular amino acid; and 'wobble' base-pairing, i.e. permitting non-standard base-pairing at the 3rd anti-codon position. The record is from Rfam by way of RNAcentral. Lineage: Eukaryota; Metazoa; Chordata; Lepidosauria; Squamata; Lacertidae.